This 230-nucleotide ribosomal RNA is filed under the name uncultured bacterium. RNAcentral describes it as "partial 16S ribosomal RNA". It matches the Rfam family "Bacterial small subunit ribosomal RNA", at positions 105 to 334 of the family's 1533-position model. The record is from RNAcentral.
ACGGUGAGUAACACGUAUCCAACCUGCCGUCUACUCUUGACAGCCUUCUGAAAGGAAGAUUAAUACAAGAUGGCAUCAUGAGUCCGCAUGUUCACAUGAUUAAAGGUAUUCCGGUAGACGAUGGGGAUGCGUUCCAUUAGAUAGUAGGCGGGGUAACGGCCCACCUAGUCUUCGAUGGAUAGGGGUUCUGAGAGGAAGGUCCCCCACAUUGGAACUGAGACACGGUCCAA